GAGUUUGAUCAUGGCUCAGAACGUACGCUGGCGGCACGCCUAACACAUGCAAGUCGAGCGGGGUAGCAAUACCUAGCGGCAGACGGGUGCGUAACAUGUGGGAAUCUGCCUUUUGGUUCGGAACAACAUGGGGAAACCUGUGCUAAUACCGGAUAAGUCCUAACGGAGAAAGUUUUAAUGCCAAAAGAUGAGCCCGCAUUUGAUUAGCUUGUUGGUGAGGUAAAAGCUCACCAAGGCUAUAAUCAAUAGCUGAUUUGAGAGGAUGAUCAGCCACACUGGGACUGAGAUACGGCCCAGACUCCUACGGGAGGCAGCAGUGGGGAAUCUUGCACAAUGGGCGAAAGCCUGAUGCAGCGAUGCCGCGUGAGUGAAGAAGGCCUUUGGGUUGUAAAGCUCUUUUGUCGGGAAAGAUAAUGACUGUACCCGAAGAAUAAGGUCCGGCUAACUUCGUGCCAGCAGCCGCGGUAAUACGAAGGGACCUAGCGUAGUUCGGAAUUACUGGGCGUAAAGAGUAUGUAGGCGGCUAGAUAAGUUAAUUGUGAAAGCCCAAAGCUUAACUUUGGAACUGCAAUUAAAACUAUUUAG
This 585-nucleotide ribosomal RNA is filed under the name alpha proteobacterium SKA48. Its description in RNAcentral is "bacterial SSU rRNA". It matches the Rfam family "Bacterial small subunit ribosomal RNA", at positions 9 to 640 of the family's 1533-position model. Lineage: Bacteria; Pseudomonadati; Pseudomonadota; Alphaproteobacteria. The record is from RNAcentral.